AGAAAGAAGGUCGCUGCUUAGGUUGCCGAGAAUACUUAACUUUUAAUACUCAAUCAUAUUUGGACAAAGUUCGCUAUCUGUACUAAUGUGAAACUUUCCCAGCUACAACUUUGCUCAAGAUCGCCUUUUGAAAGAACUUCAAGAAAAUUAUUUAGUCGAGUAUUAGUAUAAGACACUGCCGAAGUAGUGGAAUUAAAUGGAAAUUACUAAUCCUUCUCUUUUUUCUUUAUACAGGUACUAUAGACGCCCACCUUCAUUAGGAACCCAAAGUUCGAAAACCUGUCAACUGUGUGUGUUAAUGCAUCAUAUUAAUGCUUCAAAACAGCAAUGUGAACCGAUGUCAUGUAUGUAUUUAUAAUUGACAUCGAAUGUGAACAAGCAUCUACGUAUUCAACUGUGUAAUGUAAUAAUGUGAAACAGAAUGCCCGAAAAUGUACGAAAAUUUUGGUUACCAUAAGUCCACGCUAUUUCUUAACAGUCAAAAAUAGUGCUACCCAGAUUUGAAUAAACAAAGUUGGAACUGACAAGAUGGCAAAUGAACAACAUCAUUCGGAUUCAGGACGAUGUUGUCCAUUCGUCCAACUUUGUUUACCCAAGUUUGUCUAGCCCUACUUUUGAAUAUCGUAACGGUCUUAGUCACUGAGGUAACGGGUCGGGAAUGUAAAAACGGUCGCUCACUGCUGCGCGUUUAUAUUCGGUGUUUGAUGGUCAACUCGUCGGUUUCAGUUUGCUCCGACUACGCAAGUGCUAUAUUUUUGGUUAGCUUUUUAUUUUUAUUUUGGGAGUAAAAAAAGUUAAGAUAGUGAAAAAUUAGAAUGAAGCAUUGAUAGAAGAAUACAAGUGUUCAGUUUUUAGUUCAGCGGCGCUCAUGUACCGCUUUCCGGGAACCCGGUUCACCG
Long non-coding RNA from Ochlerotatus camptorhynchus, 899 nucleotides. RefSeq lists it as uncharacterized. Lineage: Eukaryota; Metazoa; Arthropoda; Insecta; Diptera; Culicidae. The record is from RefSeq and is a predicted model, not a curated record. The transcript is spliced from 2 exons.